UGAUGAUGAAGAUACCAGUUUUAUUGCAGUAACAAGCUAGUCGAUGAAAAACACAAGCCUACUUUCAGUAUCUAUACGAGUAGGUUAAUUAAGCAGCACGAACUACUUUCCGGUUACAAAAAGCACACCUCACUGCCUCAUAUAUUAGGGGGGAUACAUUCAUAUAUACUGUAGCUCUUGCCGGGCAGGUUCCAGAUUAGUUUCGCCGGCGAUCAGGCCCGAACGUGCACUUCAGGCAGCAGGCGCACAGUCAUAGUCGUCAUCAUCGUCGUCGCCGUCCGACUCGGCCUUCCUAUGCCGCCCGCCGCACCAGGCGUCACACGGCACGGUGGCGUAAACGGCAUAGUCGGGAAUGCGUCCGUCUUGGACGACGAUGAGGCUCAUGACCUUCGACGCCGGUGCCAUGACGAGGAGCUAGCUUCGAGUCUAAGCGCAAGCUAGCUAUAGCUGGUACUGGCAGUCGUGAUGUGGCUGUUGUGGACUUGUGGUGUGUGUUAUCUUCAGAGUAUAGCCGCGUAUGGUGUGGGUUUUAUAGGACGACAGGAUGUGUGGAGAAAUGUGGCGGCACGCGGCGGGUUGCGCCAGGAGCGUGCGUCGGACAUGCCGCUGCGUGCAUGGCCUUGGCGCGGCACGGGCGCGGCCGUGCACACUCAGCACUUCAGCAGCCGGGGAGCCACGGCGGCACCGCCAUGCCGCUGAGCGCUGACAGGUGAGCGCCCGGGACCGGCGCGGUCUACAUGCCAGUGCCUGCGGCGGCUGCGGUACCGGGUGGCCCGGAUCGCCCGACGUGGUGGAGGAAUCGCGAGGAGGAUGGAGGGCCAGCCGGGCAGCGAGCUAACGGGAGAUGCCAAAAAGUUAGAACCGUCGACGCAAAUCUGUGUAGAUAUUUCGCACUUUAUUGCAGUUCAGUGCGGAUAUAUUCUGUCGUCUGCAUGCGUUCGUUGCGUCUGCUUCUUCCCUCCGGCGAUCAAUGUCAAUCCCAGUCGCCACACGGGCGGUACGUGCUCAAAAACAUGUUUUCGGUACGUUGAUGAUCGAUCAUGGUCGAUCCGUCGUUGCCGAAUACGGCAGUACCGCAUGGAGUGCCGACUAUUAAUAACAUGGUCACACUACUGGAAUCGGCAACGUUGUCUAGUGUCGGGAGAUUGCCUGCUCCAAUGUUGACAUCUAAAACAGACACAUUAUUUGUUCGCGGACCCGUGAACACCAAUUCACGGACACUGAUGCGGAAGACGACCAUCCAAUAUCAUCGUGUCAUGGUGGAGGAGAGAGACAGAGGAUGUAUGAAUUUCUGGGGUGACGGUUUUUGGUUGGCUAGACGGUUGUCCGGACUCUCGCAAAAUCUCCUUCCUUUAAUUUACUUCUAGUUUGAGAGAGUUUGUAAGUCUAGACGUGUUUUGGACACUUGAAAGAUAGCAUUGGAUGGCAAAAAGUAUCUGAACCAGGACAUAUAGGGAUGAUUUGACGGUGUGCAUUGAAAAUGCCCUUAUCCGGGAGCUCGACAAUGAGCACCGUUUACCGAGUGGCCACCAGGUAAACUCCCCAAACGUGAAAAGCUCAAAGUUAAGCACCGUUUAUCGACCUUUACAUGACACAUAGUAUUAGAAAACCUCAGCCUCAAAGGUGGACUACUCCCAGAUCGUCAUGGGAACAUCAAAGGGUUGAUGUACUGGUCGAUGGAAAUCAGUUCCAAAAAAAGGUCGAUGAAAAUUGAUUCCCUCCUUCGGCAACGUGGCAGAACAUGGCCAAAACCUAGGGAAAACCAGGCAAAAAUAAAAUGCCAAAAAAGCUUAAAAAACUAUCUAGACCCAAAAAAAGAGCGCAAGAAAAGACCGAAAGUCAAAGAAAGCAACCAACAUGCGCUACACAUUAGGGCAAUUACCCUUUUGGAAGCUCCGUAAGGUAUCCAUGGGUUAGUUGCUGUUGCUGGUGUGGGGAGCUCGGGAACGGUGGCUAGUGCUGCGCUUUCUCAUUUUCUACUCUCUUCGUCCCACAAUGUGAGACAUUUUUGUAAGGUUUCUUGCGUUUUAUGAAUUUUGUGAUUCAUAUAACAUGCAAAUCCACUCGUCGUUCUACGAUUGACGACGGGGUUGUACUAUCUAGGAUGUUGGCGGUCUGUUUGAUUUGAGCCCCAAGUAGCCCGACCGAUAUAUUUGCAUGACCAAAUUUUUAGUAAGAUGGUGUUGUUUGGUUUAUAGCCAUUGUACCAAAUUUUUGGUAAAGUUGUUGGACUUCCAUUUGGUUUGGAACCAACUGAGUCUGCGUAUCGCAACGUGUAUUGGGUUAGGGCUUGGUUUAAUUAAUUCUGGUUUACUUUCAGCAAGUUUGCACACUGCAACAUGUAUGAUUGGGUUAGUGCUUGGUUUAAUGCUGGUUUACUUUCAGUGUUAAGUUGCUAAAAGAGUGAGAUGCAUAUAUCAAUUGAGGUCUCUAGUUUAAUCAGCCCACAUUCAAUUGAGGUCUCUAGUUUAAUCAGCCCACAUUCAAUUGAGGUCUCUAUUUAGAAUUAGAUCACCCUUUGAUGGGAUCAAUAAUUUCUUAAGAGUUCUUAAAUUAUAUUCCUUAAAUUCACUAUGCUCUUGAAUUUUGGAGCUCUUAUAUGAUUGAAGUAUUAAAUUUUGGAUUUAGUUCAUGAUUUUAACCGGGUCAAUAUUUUUUCAAAUCAACCAGCAGCAACCAACCUAUGAAAACAUGUGAGCCCGCGCACCCUCUCGCCACCUAGACAAAAGAUGUGCCAACAUGUAAUACCGUAGCACUAAUAUAAUAUAUGCAUCCACCGACACAGAAAAUUGCCACACCUAAAUAUGGGUUAAAUAGUAGAUAACACCGAAUCACAUAGCGGAAUGCCCAUCAAAACACCUCACUAUAAAAAAAGGACACACUCCAUCGUCUCUCCCACUCGCCAAAUCAAAUAUUCUUGAGUUUUAAAUGUUUCAAAAGUGAAUUUUUCAUUAACUUUGAUCAAGUUCAGAACCAAAAAUAUCAACAUCCACGUAUAUCUAAUACACUAUGCUCCAUAAUUGUAGAGGUCUCACAAUCAGUUGACGUUUUCAAUUCGGAAUUGAGUCACUCAAUUUUGACUGGAUCAACAAUUUCUAAAGAGUUCUCAAAUUCAAUUCUUUUAAUUCAAUAUGCUCUUGAAUUUUGUAGCUAUCUUAUAUGAUUAAGGUAUUUAUAUUUGUAUUUCUUUCAUGAUUUUGACCGGGUGAACAAUUCUUCAAAUCAAUCGGUAGCAACUGACCUAUAAAAACAUAUCACCCCACAACACCCUCUGGCCACAUAGAAAAAAGAGGUGCCAACAUGUAAUACCGUAGCACCAAUAUAAUACAUGUAGCCACCAACAAAGAGAAUUAACACACAAAAAUAUGGGUUAAUUAGUAGAUAACAUUGAAUCACACAACGGAAUGCCAACCAAAACACCGCACUAUAAAUAAAAAGAAGACACACUCCGUCGUCUAUCCCACUCUCCAAAUCAAAUAUUCCCGAGUUUCAAAAUAUAAGGUGCAUUAUUUUUUUGGAAAGUGAAAUUUCAUUAACUUUGACUAUGCCCAGAGCCAAAAAUAUCGACAUCCCCGUAAAUCUAACACACUAUGCUCCCUAAUUUUAAAGGUCUCACAAUCAAAUGACGUCUUCAAUUUGGUUGGGUCACUCGAUUUUGACCCGGUCAACAUUUUCUUAAUGCAUCUCAAUAAUUUUAUAAAUCAAUCGGCAGCAACCAACAUAUAAAAACAUAUCAUCCCGCAACGCCCUCUUGUCACCUUGAAAAAAGAGGUGUCAACAUGUAAUAUUGUAAUACCUUUAGUCCCGGUUUGUGUCUCAAACCGGGACUAAAGUCCUCUGCCUAUACAUAGCACAACCCCCCUCUCCACUCUUCCUUGCAUUUUUCUUGGAUGGAGGAUUGUGGGUGUGUGCUAGCUCUCCACUUUUUUUUUAUGCACUAGAGGUGUUUGUUGAAAUGUGUGUUAGAGCGAUGCCGCCUCAGUUCACCGAACACAACUACGAUAUGAGAUGCCUGAGCCACGCUUAAACCUCUUCCUCUUUAUUUCUACUUAUUCUAAAAGGUUAGCAACUAUAUUUCCUCGUUUAGGCCGUGCGGUACUAAUUUUUAGGAUCGUAAUUGUAUUUGAUAUACUGUCGUAUAACGCAGAUGAGCCAUCCAUGGAUGUACGGUGAUCGACGCACAGCCGCUUACAGAGAAGGCGUGCAUUCUUUUCGAGAUGCAGCCGAUGCGAACAAGCAUGGUGGUGGCUUUAUGUUUUGUCCAUGUGUUGAAUGUCGGAAUGAGAAGGAUUACACUUCCUCAAGAGUCAUUCAGAGCCACCUGCUUCGGUCCGGUUUUAUGUCGGACUAUAAUGUUUGGACCAAGCACGGAGAAAGAGGGGUUAUGAUGGAAGACGACGAUGAAGAAGAAAAGAACGAUGAUGACAACUACCGAUCUAUGUUCCCUGAGUAUGCUGAUACCGCAAUGGAAGACAAUGAAGAAGAAGAUCAGGAUGAAGAACGGGAACCAGAUGAGCCUGCUGAUGAUCUUGGCCGGGUCAUUUCUGAUGCACAGCGAGGUUGCGACACAGAAAAGGAGAGGUUACAGUUCGAGCAGAUGUUACAGGACCACAACAAAUUGUUGUACCCAACUUGUGAAGAUGGCCAGAAGAAGCUGGGUAGCACACUGGAAUUGCUGAAGUGGAAGGCAGAGACCGGUGUGACUGACUCGUCAUUCGAGAAGUUGCUGGUACUAAUGAAGAAGAUGCUUCCAAGAAAGAACGAAUUGCCCGCCAGCACGUACGAAGCAAAGAAGCUUGUCUGCCCUCUAGGAUUAGACGUGCAGAAGAUACAUGCAUGCCCUAAUGACUGCAUCCUCUACCGCGGUGAGAAGUACGAGAAUAUGGAUAAAUGCCCGGUAUGCACUGCAUUGCGGUAUAAGAUCAGAAAAGAUGACCCUGGUGAUAUUGAGGGCGAGCCACCCAGGAAGAGGGUUCCUGCCAAGGUGAUGUGGUAUGCUCCUAUAAUACCACGGUUGAAACGUCUGUUCAGAAAUAAAGAUCAUGCGAAGUUGUUGCGAUGGCACAUGGAAGAUCGUAUGAAAGACGAUAAGUUGAGGCACACCGCUGAUGGUCGGCAGUGGAGAAAAAUCGAGAGAGAGAGUUCCCGAGAUUUGCAGCUGACGCAAGGAACUUAUGGUUAGGUCUGAGUACAGAUCGCAUGAAUCCUUUUGGGGAGCAGAGUUGCAGUCACAACACCUGGCCCGUUACUCUAUGUAUCUACAACCUUCGUCCUUGGUUGUGCAUGAAGCGGAAGUUCAUUAUGAUGCCAGUGCUUAUCCAAGGUCCAAAGCAACCCGGCAACGAUAUUGAUGUGUACCUAAGGCCAUUAGUUGAUGAACUUUUACAGCUGUGGGCCAAACCAGGUGUACGUGUGUGGGACGAGCACAAACAAGAGGAAUUUGACCUUCGAGCGUUGCUUUUCGUAACCAUCAAUGAUUGGCCUGCUCUUAGUAACAUUUCAGGACAUUCAAACAAGGGAUUCAAUGCAUGCACGCACUGUUUGGAUAAGAUAGAAAGUAUAUAUCUGGACAAAUGUAGGAAGUAUGUGUACCUGUACAAUCGUCGUUUUCUUCCGCCCAAGCAUCCCUUAAAGAAAAAAGGCAAGCAUUUCAAUGGCAAGGCAGAACCCCGGGGGAAGCCUGUCAUCCGUACUGGUGCUGAAGUAUUUGAUAUGGUCAAAGAUUUAAAAGUAAUCUUUGGAAAGGGUCCUGGCAGCCAACCUGUUCCUAACGGCCCUGAUAAGCGCGUACCCAUGUGGAAGAAGAAAUCUAUAUUUUGGGAGCUACCCUACUAGGAAGUCCAUGAGGUCCGCUCGGCAAUCGACGUGAUGCACCUGACGAAGAAUCUCUGCGUGAAUAUUCUAGGCUUCCUGGGCUUGUAUGGGAAGUCAAAAGAUACACCGGAAGCACGGGAGGACCAGGAACGUCAUAAAGGAAGAGAUGGCAUGCAUCCAGGGCAGUUUCAAGGGCGUGCCAGCUACGCACUUACUAAGGAAGAGAAGGAAAUCUUCUUUGAAGUCCUUUUCAGUAUCAAGGUCCCGACUGGCUUCUCGUCGAAUAUAAAGGGAAUCGUAAAUAUGAAAGACAAAAAAUUCCAAAACCUAAAGUCUCAUGACUGCCACGUGCUUAUGACGCAAUUGCUUCCGGUUGCAUUGAGGGGAAUUCUACCGGAAAAUGCUCGCCUGGCAAUUGUGAAGGUAUGUGCAUUCCUCAAUGCAAUUUCUCAGAAGGUAAUCGAUCGAGAAAGUCUAUCAGGGUUACAGAUUGAUGUGGUCCAAUGUCUGGUCAGCUUUGAGUUGUUGUUCCCGCCAUCCUUCUUCAAUAUAAUGACACACCUCCUAGUUCACCUAGUCGAAGAGAUUAGAAUUCUCGGUCAUGUGUUUCUACACAAUAUGUUCCCCUUCGAGAGGUUCAUGGGAGUCUUAAAGAAAUAUGUUCGUAAUCGUGCUAGGCCAGAAGGAAGCAUCUCCAAGGGCUAUGGAACAGAGGAGGUCAUUGAGUUUUGUGUGGACUUUCUUCCUGACCUUAAGCCGAUUGAUGUUCCUGAAUCUUGGUAUGAGGGUAGGCUGACAGGAAAAGGCACACUAGGAAGGAAAGCAAAAUUAUGUAUGGACGGGCAUUCUUUCUCUCAAGCACACUACACAGUUCUACAUAAUUCCACCGUGGUGGCUCCGUAUAUCGUGAGACACAAGAAUAUUCUACGCUCCGAAAACCCGGGGAAGGCUGACUCUUGGAUUAAAGGGGAACACGAGAAGACUUUCGGCAGUUGGUUGCAGACACAUCUCAUGAAUGACGACACCGUUGGAGAUCAGCUAUACUGUUUGGCCAGGCCACCAUCUUCGACUAUAUGUACUUUCCAAGGGUAUGAGACAAAUGGGAAUACAUUUUACACGGUUGCCCGAGAUAAAAAGAGCACCAACCAAAAUAGUGGUGUCCGCUUUGAUGCAACAGACGAGAAUGGGCACUGUUUGGAAACAUAUUACGGGUACAUAGAGGAGAUAUGGGAAUUUGACUAUGGACCUACUUUUAAGAUCCCUUUGUUUCGAUGCAAAUGGGUGAAGCUGACAGGAGGCGGGGUAGUUGUAGACCAAAAGUACGACAUGGCAACAGUGGAUCUCAACAAUCUUGCGUACAUGGACGAACCAUUUGUCCUAGCCAAUGAUGUCGCUCAGGUUUUCUAUGUGAAGGACAUGUCUACAAAAACGAGAAGAAGAAAUCAGCAAAAGAAGAUAUCGUCCGAUGAGCCAAAACGCCACAUAGUUCUUUCAGGAAAAAGAAACAUCGUGGGAGUAGAUGAUAAGACAGACAUGUCAGAAGAUUAUAAUAAGUUUCAUGAAAUUCCGCUCUUCAAAGUGAAAACUGACCAAAGCAUCCUACUGAAUGAUGAAGAUUCUCCAUGGCUACGACCUAGAAGAAAAUAGAAAUAAUAGAUAGGAAUAUUGGUGCAAUAAUGUAAUAAUGUAUUAAACCUUUUAUGUAAUGCAUGUAUGGAAUGUACUAAAUUUCAAACACUUUUCAUUUUCAUAGUUUUAUCAAAUUCUCAAAUACACAAAAAGAAUUUUAAUAAACCUUUGUAAGAGAUGAGUUCUCGUUCGAAACCCUCAUACUUCGAGAGAGAUUGUCCAUUUUGUACACGAAGUGCAUCCAGUUUUUGUCGUAGCCCUCUCAACUUUUUAACACAUGCUAUGUGGGUGAAAUGAUGAUAGCAUGCCAACUUUCAACAUUUUCAGAGUUCAUUUGUAGUGCUUUUCAAUUUCAGGGUCAACUAGCUCAAAAAAAUAAGUAAAUGCACGAAGAAUACCAAAUGAAGUCAAAAAUUGUUGAAAUUUUGUGAUGUGCCUUUGAAUGGUGCAUUUUGAACACACAAAAAGUAUGGAGUUCAAAUAAGUUUAAAAAAAUGAAUUCCCUUUGUAAGAGAUGAGUUCUCGUUCGAAACUCUGAUACUUCGAGAGAGAUUGUUCGUUUUGUACACGAAGUGCAUCCAGUUUUUGUCGUAGCCCUCUCAACUUUUUAACACAUGCCACAUAACCUUAUAGGAGCAUACCACAUAACCUUAGCAGGAACCUUCUUCCUGGGGUAUCGUCAUCGCCCUCAACAUCAUCAGGGUCAUCCUGUCCGAUCUUGUACCGACAUGCAGUGCAUACCGGGCAUUUAUCCAUAUUCUCGUACUUCUCACCGCGGUACAGGAUGCAGUCAUUAAUGCAUGCAUGUAUAUUCUCCACAUCUAAUCCAAGAGGGCAGAUAGACUUCUUUGCUUCGUACGUAGUCUCGGGAAAUUCGUUAUCCUUUGGAAGCUUCGGCUUCAAUAUUUUCAGUAACUUCUCAAAUCCCUUGUCAGAUAAACCAGUUUCUACCUUCCAUUUCAAUAGUUCCAGUGUGGUACCAAGCUUUGUGCUGCCAUCUUCGCAAUUUGGGUACAACAACUUUUCAUGAUCCUUUAGCACGACCUCCAAUUUCAGCUUCUCCUUUUCUGUAUCGCAUUCUCUCUUUACAUCAGAAAUGACCCGACCAAGACCAUCAACGGGCUCAUCUGAUGCCGGUUGUUCUUCACCUCCUUCUUCUUCAUUGUCUUCCAUUGUAGUAUCACUGUAUUCUUCAGUGAACAUAGGAUAGUUGUCAUCACCAUCUUCUUCUUCAUUGUGUUCCAUCCUAACCCCUCUUUCUCCGUGCAUGGUCCAACAAUAAUAUGUGGGUAUGAAACCUCUCUGAAGCAAGUGGAGAUGAAUGUUUUUCGAUCUAGAGUAUUCCUUCACGUUUCGACAAACAACACAUGGACAAGGCAUAAAAUUAUCCACUUUGUUUGCCUUAGCCACAUCGAUAAAUUUGUGCAUGCCUUUUAUAAAUCCGGAACCGCGUCGUUCGCCGUACAUCCAUCACUUCCGUGCAUCGAUCUGGCAUCAUACAUGAAUAGUGAAAUGACCACCGUACAUUGACACAUGCAAUAUUUUUGUAUCAAUUACAGAUGAAAAGGAUAGGGUUGCUAACCUCGGUCGAGGAUACCAUUUUGUGUGAACUUAAGUGUGAUUCGGGCAUUAGUCGAGGUUCUUAAUGUACUCCGAAGUGUGUCGAUCACCGUACAUCCAUUGGCGAUUCAUCUCUAUUAUGAAAUUAAAUAUAUCAAAAAACCAUUGCAGAACAUAUGACCAAAUUAAUACAAGUUCAUCAUCACAUUAAAGCCAAAGAACAGUAGUGAUCAAAUGUUAUUAUUGCAAAAAAUAAAUACAUAAAGUUUUCUCAUAAAACAACAUACAACUAUGUAAAACAUUUAAAUAAAACAAAAAAUGCGAUCAAAAUCGCAACUAAGGUAACAAUUGACCAAACAGCAUAAUGAUACCAAGCCUCUUUAUCAAUGGCAUAUUUUCUAAUAUUUCUAAUCUUCAAGCGCAUUUUAUCCAUCUUCAAGCGCAUUGCAUCCAUCUUCAACCGCAUCACAUCGUUCUUCAUCUUGCGAUCAUCGAUGACAUCGGCGACAUGAAACUCCAGUUCCAUAUUCUUAUCCUCAAUUAUUUUCAAUUUUUUCUUCAAGUAUUUGUUUUCUUUUUCAACCAAAUUUAACUUCUCGAGAAGAAUUUCUAUGUGGUUUGGAAUUUCCGGUUCACAUACCUCCUAGAUUAAAAAAUAUAUGUCACAUUGGUCGUCAUAAUUGUCAUAAACACUAAAUAAAACAAAUAGUUAUAAAAGAUAAUAUAUACCACAUCCGAAUCAUAGACAGGACGAGGACCGACGGAGGCGGAUACCAAAACCAUCGCACUAUAUAAUAACAAAAAAUAAUGAAAGUGAGUAAUUUAUACAAGUAUGUAUCUAAAUCAUACAAGUAAGACUUUUUUCUUUUAAAAAGAAGAUAAGAACAAGAGGCUCACCACGGUGGUGCUCGCGACGAGAUCGGCGCGGGGCGAUCGACAAUGGUGAGGACGGGCACGGGACGACACCCUACACAUGUGCAGACUCUAAGAAGUUAAUUUGAGCAUUUGAAACCAGCUACACUAGCAGUGACAAAUGAAAGGAUGAAGUAGCUAACCUUUUAAAACACUUGUGCAGUUGGUGCACGGCCAAACCUAGACAAAUAUUAAGGAAAAUGGAGCUUGGAGGUCGAGCUUGGAGAGGAGAAAGCUUAAGUAGAGUGGCUCGGGCAUUUCAUAGAACACGUCAUGUGCAUGAACUAGAGUGGCAAGAGCAUGGCAUGGUCACACUUCAACAACCAAAAAACAGGGGAGAGGGUGGGCAGGCGCGAGGGUUUAUAUAGGCAACACUUUAGUCCCGGCUUUUGUCUAAAACCGGGACUAAUAGCCUAACCUUUAGUCCCGGUUCUUGCCACAAACCGGGACUAAUGCUCCGCGGCACGCCCCUGCUUCCCGCCUUUUGGUCUGCCGAAAAAGGGCCUUUAGUCCCGGGUCGUGGCUCCACCCGGGACUAAAGGGGGUCUUUAGUCCCGGAUCGAGCCCCGAACCGGGACUAAAGAUCCACCUAUAUAAGCGGGAGUCAGAAAAUUUCCAACCCAAAUCGCAUUUCCUUCUAUCCUUCUUCCUCGUUCUCCUGCCCAGCGCGGCACAGCGACGAACUCGGCGACGCCGUCAGGCUCCCCGCCGUCCUGCUCGCCGCCGCCUGUCGUCGCCGUCGUCCUCCUCGCCGCGCGCCGCCCUCCUCGCCGUGCGUCGCCGUCCUCCUCGCCGCGCGCCGUCGACACCUCCGGCCGGUAAGCCCCCCACCCCCUCCUCCCCAACACUCUGACCAGUAGAAGAAAAGAAGAAAAAGGAGAAGAAAGGAAGAAAAAGGAGAAGAAAAGAAGAAAAAGGAGAAGAAAGGAAGAAAAAGGAGAAGAAAAGAAGAAAAAGGAGAAGAAAAGAAGAAAAAGGGAAGAAAGGAAGAAAAAGGAGAAGAAAAAGGGAAGAAAACAAGAAAAAGAUUUUUUUUGUCAUUUAAUUCCUAUUGUUAUUAGGUUUGUGCUAGAUUAUUAGGGUUAGUAAUAUGUAGAAUUAGGAAAAAGGAAAAUAAGAAGAGGAGGAGAAGAAAAGAAGAAAAAGGAGAAUAAGAAGAGGAGGAGAGGAGAAGAAGAGGAAAAAUAGAAGAAGAGGAGAAGUAGAAGAAGAGAAAAAAAUUAGAAGAGGAGGAGAGGAGAAGUAGAAGAAGAGAAGAGGAGAAGUAGUAGAAGAAGAGGAGAAGAAGAAGUAGAAGAAGAGGAGAAAUAGAAGAAGAGGAAAAAUUAGUAUAGGGUUACAAGAAGAAGAAAUUUUUUUUGUCAUUUAAUUUUGCUAUUGUAUAGUGUAUAUGCUUAAGUGUUAAUAGUGUUUCUUAGAUUAUUGCUUAAUUUUGCUAUUGUAUAUGCUUAAGUGUUAAUAGUUUAAUUUUGCUAUUGUAUAUGCUUAAGUGUUAAUAGUUUAUUUUUAGCAAGAAAAUUAAUAGAACUAGUUUAAUUUUGAUAUUGUAUAUGCUUAAGUGUCCGAGACUAGGCUUCGCCUGGCUAGUAUUUUAGAGUUUAGGUUCUAGCCAAGACCCGGGACUAAAGAUCCUCCUAUAUAAAACGACACUUCGAAGUUUCCAACCCCUCUUAUAUAGUUUGUUAGUUUAUUAGUUAAUCAAAUGUCCGUUUUUUGCAGAACUAUGGAUCCACAUAUCAGGAACCUCGAAGAGGAAGAACUUCUCAAAGAUAUAAUCAAAGACGGCCCCGACGUUGAACCAGCUGAAUCUCCGUAGUCAUAUCUAAACCCCUCCAAAUAUGGAAUGGAGGUCGAGCGACACGAAGAUGAAGCCAAUGGGGCAGGAGAUAGGUCCAAUGACGAAGAAGGUGAUAGCUCCACUGAUGGAGAAGCCGGUGGAGAAGCCGGUGAAGAAAUAAUAAACUCCGGCGAGGUAUACAUAUGAAGUUCGACAAUCACUUGUAAUAUGUGAAAAAUAUUGGAGAUAGCUCUAUAUUGUAUGCAUAUACAUUCAUUUGACGAAUGUUUCUCCCUCUUAGGCCUCCACAUCGAGCAAAGCUACGAAACGAGGCCCGACUAGAAAGUUGGAUGCACGGACGCAUUACACCUUUGAGGUGAUAUUGCCUACGGACGAACCCAAGCUUCCUAAGAAUACUGCUGACACAUUUAAGAAGCAAUGCAGAGUUCUCGUUAGGGAUCACGUCCCGAUCAGCGUUUGGGAGUGGAACAAGCGCAAAGGGGCAGCCGAUAGUGACUAUGUCGCUGAAAGGUACAAAGAUAAUCUUUGGAAUGAUCUCAUGUCACAUUUCAACCUGCCAGAAUGUGAGAAUGAAGACGCCGCAGACAAACUGAGGGCCAAAGUCAAGCAGUGGACUUUAAAGAAGAUGGCCGAACUGUUCCGUAGCUGGAAGAAGAAGCUAUGGAAAAACUAUCUGAAGACAAAGAAAAGUGCCAGUAUUCGAGGGGUAUCUAGCCAAGCAGGCGAAUCACUCGACAAACGCGAGGCUUCGGUCCUUCUUACCCGUGGUGGCUUGGGUUUGCCAGAGACCAAGACACUUACAGAAGCCGAGAGAGAGCAAAGAAGCGGCGGCAGAGGAUGAGGAGAAUGACAAGUUCAACCAGUUGCUUGCGAGGAUUAACGAGCAACAGAAGCAGAUUGAUGAGCUUAGAGGAGUAGCGCGCCAGGAAGAUCCUGCACUUGAUAUUACCGGCGCACCAUCUAAGCGGAAAAGCAGCGUGGCUGAAUCUGAGGCCCCGCCUGACGAUGCACGAAGAAUGAUAGAGGGCGGUCCCAGCUACCCCGUGGAUGGAAUCAAGGAGUCAACAUCAUGUGAACUCCAUCAGAAAUUCAAGAACAUAUCCAUGAAGGUGGCCGUCAGACAAGCUUUACCUUCUGGUCCUGAUGCACGCUGGCAUGGCCGUGAGAUUCCAGCUGUCUUUGCUAAAGUCGGGGUGGAUGAAAUCAUGGCGGGGUUUCAUGAUAUGGAGCUCGACAUAGCUGGACCCGAAGAUGAGAGGACACUCGGAGAAGUACUGGGUGGAGUCAUCCUAUGGGACAAGAACUACAUCAAGCUUCCAGGCUCGGCCCCAAGGACAACACCGCCUUCGAGUCGUCGCAGGUCACCUACACCUCCAUUACCUCCAAGCCCUCCACAUGACGUAGUCUAGCACAACACGAGUCCAUCUCGAUCACCGCUGCCGGACUUGGGUCGUCCGUCUCCGCCACCGCCCGCUCCGGAUACUAAGCGGGAGCGUGCCACCAAGAACGCUCCGUCGACGAUUUCUAAGCGACGGAGCCCCCAAAAGCGCAAAUGGUCACCCCUCCCAAAGGUACCUCAUGCUAAUCUUCCUAUCAGACCUUAUGAUCGUACCCCCGAGGAAAAUGCCAGGAUAGCAAAGGAACAUCAUGAUGCGCAGAUGAAAAAGAAGGAACCAGAGCCUCGCCCGGAAUACACCGAGAAGCAAAUAGCAUUUGCAAAAUACUUCACGACCCUUCCAUCACAGUAUGACUUACACCAUAAGCCUGAUGACUAUACACGCACAUUGCAGAAGGAAGUGAAAAAGAGCAGAUCACGUGCAAGUGCAAGUGGGAGCAAAUCAAGUUCAACUACAAGCAAGAAAAAAUCAGACGUUUCUCAACUUGGACAACAGGCCAAACAGUCGAUCCCACCCCUCAAGGUGUUAACCGAGAAUGUCCCCCCCCCCCGGUGCAGGGGCAAGAUUUUGAAUUAGCAAAGAAGUGGGCGGCUGAAUGGGGUGUCUCGGUUGAAGAUGUUCUGGCUUCCCAAGACGACAGGUUACCCAAGGCUGUGGUAGCCCCUAAGCCACAGUUUGUCAUGAGAGAACCUUUGGUCAGCAAAGAUGAUCUCCCAAUAAAUAUGCGUUACUUGCAUACAUGGUACUUAAGUGAAUCAAAGAAUGGGAGAACGAUGAUCGUGGUGAGUGUCCCACGGGAGUACUUCGGCCGCCCCGAAGAAAUCCAUAUCAACUUUGAUGAACUCUUCCAUAUGUACAAUGGCGACGCCCUCGACAAAUCGCUUAUGAGUUGCUAUUGUCUGUAAGUUUUUCAAUUCGUUGUCUACAUAUAACUUGUUUAGUUAUUUCAAUUCAUUGUCUAUAUAUAACUUGUACUCUAUUAUGCAGAAUGAAGAUUCUGGAUUGUAAAAGUAAGAACAUCCUAAAUAUUGGGUUUAUUGACCCAGAUAAAAUACAUAUAGCGACACUAACUGAUAAACCUAAGGAGACGGAGGAAAACCUUCUAAGGUUUCUAACAGAUCAAAAAUUUUGUGACCACAUACUGUUUCCAUACAACUUCAGGUGGGGGUCUUUACUCUGUUGUGUCCAUUCACUUAUAAGUGUAAUUGAUAAGUUACUGACACACACUCACACACAUAUAUAUAUAUACAUGUGCAGCUUUCAUUGGAUUCUGUUGGACAUUCAAAUUGAUAAGGGAAGAGUUGAUGCCUUCGACCCAUUAUCGAGACCCUUGGAACAAUUCCAAAGCCUGCAGGACAUGCUCCAAGGGUAAUUUCAAUCAUUCUUGCGCUCUAUCGGUCUCUUUCGAUGAUUUUCUGAUAUAUCAAUUAAUAAAAAACUUAGCAAAUCAUUAUCCUUGUCGGGCAGGGUUUGGAAGCGGUUCAAGUGCGUGACUCCCGGUAUCGAGCCUGAGAAGCUGACCUUUAGAGCGGCUCAGGUAAGUAGUAGUAUGAUAUACUUCUAUUUUCAAUACAUUUAUGAUGCUAGAUUAUUAUUUUGAUUAUAUAUAUUCUAUUCUCGUAAAGUGCGACCAGCAGCCACGGGGGACGCAUCUAUGCAGAUACUAUGUUUGCGAGACCAUUCGCACGUUUACCUCUGAGCACAAGGAUCACAAAUUCGACGUAAGCAAUGAACAUUCACACCUCUAUUUUUUACCCGUCAUUCUUUGUUAUCAUGAUUGAUAUUCAUAUUCAUCUCCUCUUCUUAUAUAGUACACGGCCAUGAGGACGAAGGUCCUACCAGAGCAACGCGCGAUUGCUGUUGCAGAGGAGCUUGCGACCUUUCUGAAGACGGAAGCUAUAGAUGACAAAGGAUGAUUUAGUGNAUUGUUUUACCUAGGUUCACGUGCUUAGCAUUGUUUCUUCAUGGGUCACCAAACUCAUCUCUUUCCUAUUAAUUAGCUUGUCACAUCAGAUUUUUUAUCUAUGUAUCAGUUUUAACAUCUGUAUAAGGUGGAGCAUUCGGAGUAGCCUAAUAUGAUUGUCGGUACUCAAUAGUACAUGGAAUACACAGCAGUGAGUGGGCCAUGACACUUUAAAUUCGUAUUAGAUAUGCAAUCGAAAAGAUCUUAUAUUAGUUUGCAGAGGUAUUACUGAUCAAAAUGUCAGUUUUAUUGAAGGCCGGUCUCAAACAGUAUAGUGAUGUUCUGAUCAAGAUAUCAGUUUUAUUGCAGUAACAAGCUAGAGGAUGAAAAGCACAAGCCUACUUUCAAUAUCUAUACGAGAGUAGGCAACUAAGCAUAGCUAAAUUGAGUAUAUUUAGCCAGCAGCGCCAGCACACGGUGGGUUAAUUAAGCGGUGCGAACUACUUCCCGGUUACACAAAACACACCUCAUUGCCACGUAUAUUAGGGGGAUACAUUCGUACUAGCUCUUGCCGUUGGCGGGCAGGUUCCGGAUUCGUCUCGCCGGGGACAAGGCACGAACGUGCACUUUAGGCAGGCGCGCAGUCAUAGUCGUCAUCAUUGUCGUCGUCGUCCGACUCAGCCUUCCUAUGCCGCCCGCCGCAGCAGUCGUCACUCGGCGCGGCAUCGCAAACGGCAUAGGUGGCAAUGCCGCCGUCUUGGACGACGAUGGGGCUCAUGACCAUGGACGCCGGCGCCAUGACGAGGAGCUAGCUUGAGUAUGCAGGCGAAUCACAAGCUUGAGGUCUAAGCCUGGCGAUGCUAGCCGUGUUGGUGUUGUUGGCAAUAAGCCACGGUGAGCGUAGCCUGCAUGCGUGCGGGCGUGAGCUGGCCGCGUCGGAUCCGUGGCAGGUGUCCCUGUGUGUGUCUAGGCAUAGUCUGGUUAGUGUUCAACUUACAGGAUGGUCUGGCCAUGGUCCGUGUAUAGUCCGGCUAGUUUACAGGCUGUGUGCGUGCGUGAGUGUGUGUCUGUUAGCUAGAUAGCCGAGGAUGUGACCGCGUCGCCUGCACUAGAAAUGGCCGCGUUGUUCGCGUUGGAGCGCGAUGGGUGCGCUGGCUGGGAGUGCGAGACGUGGAGAGCGAGUCUCCUGGUGGAGUUCAGUUUGAUUAGACAAUGAACUUUAACACUACAAACUAAGUUGUUACAUGUUACAUAAUCUGCAUCAGCACAUGGCUCGGAUAGAUUAAACAAUUACACAAUCUGCAUCGGCACACGGCUAAACUAAAAUAUGACCAUCAGAUCAACAUAAACUAUGCACUGGACCAUGUGCUUACUAUCAUUGUUAAUACAAAAAAUACAGCUUUUGUGCAGCAUCUGACCUUAUUAGCACACACUCAUAACCUCUUGCCCAUGUCAAAUCCUUCAAAGACCACACACCUCUCAGCUGCCAGACUAUGGUGCUCGCAAGGAACCAUCGGUGUUGUCUCAACGCCCAUGUAGUCCUGGUCUUCAAUGCUAGCAGGGACCUACAACAAAAAAAUGAACAAAGAAUCCCCCAAAUCAAAUUGAAUCCCCAAGAACACAAACCCUAACUCUAAGCCUAGUUCUACAACUCACCAGGUACUUCAUGCCGUCGAAGGAGGAGCUGAUGUGCAGCAGGCUAGAGUAGUUGUUGUUGUUUUCGUUCUCGUACACCAUGGCACUAUGACGGCGGCGACGGUCGACCGCGAAUCGGAGGAGGGAGGAAGAGAGCUCGAGGAGAGCAAGAGAGUGCGUAGGGGUUCGGCUAGGUUCGAUCAAGCCCACCAAGAUCGACCGUACCGGCUUCGUCCUAGUCAGCAGAGCGGCACAUGCUAGUUGGCCAUGUAUCACUAAUAGGUGGGGCCGCACGGUCAGAUACACGCUCAAUAUAGGGUUAUACGGCUGUCAGACCUUUUUGCAACAAUUAGGUCCUAAAAUGAUACUAAAUUGCGACCAACAUGAUUUGUGGUACUGACUCGUAACAUGGUGCCGAAGUGUGAUAGCCCCCUGCAAUUAACUCGUUCUCGUAAGGGUUCCCCUGUGUCUUCUGCGAGGAUGACGUGGCGGUCGGGGUCAGGUCCGACGCAUUAACAUAAUAACAUGCUGCUACAUGACAUUGACGGGAUUACCCUCGACUCUUCGUUGAACAAACUUAGGCAUGUGUUAAUGAAGGUUUCUUAGCGCAGGUUUAUAGGCAUUUUGCUGAUGUGUCACAACAGUUAAUGAUGAGAGAAAGUAGGAUUGUAUCUUAGCUAAGAUACAACAUCUGCACGUCACCAUAUGUAAAAAUGGUUAAUAGGUCAAUCACAUCUAUGCAUCAACACCAAAUUAUUAAAUUUAGAGACAACCUCUAAAAAAUAAUACAUUGGGUUAGUAGUCUCUUAAGUUAUUAAUGCUUCUAUCAUAAUGUGCUGAGAAACCAUGCAUUGGCACAGGAUUUAUGCAACAAUAACUGAUGCAAAAAAUGGCAACAAAGGAUAGCACAAAGGAGCAUGCAAUGAUGGAGCUAUUACUUCGGUAGGUAACCAUUCCACAAGAGACACAAAUACAUACAUCAUCUCGGUUGCGUGGCAUUAAACAUUCCACCGAAUGUUGCCCGUGGCGCUUAUUUUCAUCUGUAUAAUAGCCAUGAAUAUAUCCGACACACCUAUAAUAACUCAAAUAAUCCCUCACAAAAAAAAUUAAAAUAAUAGAUAUAUGUCUAUCAUAGUGAGCCGCCCAAUUAAAGAAUGAACAUCUCACAUUGAACACUCACUGGAAUUAUAACAACACACAGUAAACAACCAUUUAGCUGGCCAAUUAAUGACUCAGUUAGAUUAAACAAUGAACUUCAACGCUGCAAACUAAGCUGUUGACAUGUUACACAAUCUCCAUCAGCGCAUGGCUCGGGUAGAUUAAACAAUUACACAAUCUGCAUCAACACAUGGCUAAACUAAAAUAUGACCAUCAGAUCUGCCAACAUAAAUUAUGCACCGGACCAUGUGCUUACUAUCAUUGUUAAUACAAAAAAUAUAGCUUUUGUGCAACAUCUGACCUUAUUAGCACACACUAAAAACCUCUUGUCCAUGUUAAAUUCUUCAAAGGCCACAUGCCUCUCAGCUGCCAGACCAUGGUGCUAACAAGGAACCAGCGGUGCUGUCUCAACGCCCAUGUAGUCCUGGUCUUCAAUGCUAGCAGGGACCUACAACAGCAAAAUGAACAAAGAAUCCCCCAAAUCAAAUCAAAUCCCCCAAGAACACAAAUCCUAACCCUAAACCUAGUUCUACAACUCACCUGGUACUUCAUGACGCCGUCGGAGGAGCUGAUGUACAACAGGCUGGAGUAUUCGUUGCUGCUCUCGUCCUCGUACACCAUGGCACAACGACGGCGGCGGCGGCAAUGGUCGACUGCGAAUCGAAGGGGGGAGGGAGAGAGCUUGAGGAGAGGAAGAGAGUGUGCCGGGGUCCGGCUCGGUUCGACCGAGCCCGCUAAGACCGACCGCGUCGGCCUCGUCCUACUCAGCAGAGCGGCACAUGCCAGUUGGCCAUGUAUCACUGAUAGGUGGGGCUGCGCGGUCAGAUCCACGAUCAAUACAGGGUUAUAUGGCUGUUAGACCUUUUUGCGACAAUUAUGCCCUAAAAUGGUACUGAACUGCGACCAACACGAUUUGUGGUACUGACUUGUAACAUGGUAUCGAAGUGUGGUAACUCCCUGCAAUUAACUCGGUCAGGUAAGGAUUCCCCUGUGUCGUUUACGAGGACGACGCGGUGGUCGGGGGUCAGGUCCGACGCUUUAACAUAAUAACAUGCCGUUACAUGGCAGUGGCUGCAAUACCCUUGACUCUCAUCCGCAAAAAAAAAGGAUUACCCUCGACUCUUCAUUGAACAAACUUAUGCAAUAAUAACUGAUGCAAAAAAUGGCAACAAAGGAGCAUGCAAUGAUGGAGCUAUUACUUCGGUGGGUAACCAUUCCACAAGAGACACAAAUACUCCAUCCCGGUUGCCUAGCCAUAAACAUACCACCGAAUGUUGCCCGUGCCGCUUGUUUUCAUCUGUAUAAUAUCCAUGAAUAUAUCCGACACACCUAUAAAUAAUAACUCAAAUAACCCCUCACAAAAAAAAACUGAAAUAAUAAAUAUAUGUCUAUGUGUUGCCUGUGGUGCUCAAUGUUUUCCCUCUUGUUCUCCCCAGCGAAGAGUUGGGCACAGAGAAGUAUGAAUGUGGGCAGAUGUAUAUGUCACCGAGUGGAGCAUAUGCUAUGUAAAUAGUAGCAUGAAGCCACGAACACUAUAUAACUGAAAUUUAUAAAAAAAACUGUUAUAUUUGAUAAUCCUGCAUUUAUAAAACGUUCUAUGUGUAUUAAGUUCUUGUUUAUUUUAAAAUGUUAUUGGUGCAUUGAACAAAUAUUCAGAUCCUAGUUUUAAAACAAUAUGUAUCUAGCCUUUUAAAAAAUACAUCAUGUUUCAAAAAGUGUUCAUAGGGAAAAGAGGAAAAGUCCAAAAACAGAAUUAGAAAAUACAGGAGAGUGAAUAGAAUAAAAAUAAUAAGAAAAGGAAAACAAUAGAAGAGGAGAAAAUGUACAUAGGAGCACAUAAACACAAAAAUAAUAAAAGAUGUUCAAUUACGUACUUUUAAAAAUUGUUCACAUAUAUUGAGACAAAAGUUAUCUACUUUAAAAUAGGUUUAUGGAACUAAAAAAUUUAUUUGCAUUUGUUUAUUUUCACGUAUUAACAAAACAUAUUCAUGUAAUAAAAAAUACGGUGCCAUUUCAAUGUAUUCUUUUGCGUAAAAUUUAGAAAGUGUCAGCACCCUUUUAGAAAGGUUUGUAUAUUUUCAAAAAUAUUUCUGUCGCUACCGGCAAUAUCAAUGCGAGUUUGAUGAGUCGAUAAACCAAUGAAAAACGCAAAUACUCCUUAGUUUGAACAAUCUUGACAAACAGACUUGAUAGACUAUCAUAACCACAGAAAAAUUCUUUUCGAAAGGCCGGGUCAGGUUCAAUCUCAGCUGGAUUAAAUCUUUGAGGAAUAUCAUUUUGCAAAUUAUUUGUAUCAGUCUCUGUACUUAAUACCGUCGAAUCAAUAGCUUCGGAACUGGUUGCAUUUACUUCAGAUUCGCAAACUUGGGGUCUAGACUGAUUUACUGGGAUAGCUUUGAAAAAAGAUUCAAUCUGCUUCAUCUUUUUAAGUCCCUGCAACAUCAUAGUUUUAACUAACUUUUAGUGUUUAACUUUCAAGAAUUAGGCCAAGACGACAACCAAUUAAGAAGACUAGGACAACGAAAGAACCUGCUCCUUGUUGCAUCUGGUGGCUGCUCGUUUGUUGUUUUGAGCAGGGAUCAUGGCGACCGCGGCGGCGACGUCGCAGGCGGCUGCGGCAUGCGGCGACGCCGCUUCCUGUGUGGACGGCGACGCGAACAGGCGGACUCGCUUAUCGUUUUCCAUCUAGUACCAUCGGCUGGACUAACCUGUGCAGUGCCGGUGACUGUGAGACGACAGUGGAGGCGGCGGCUCGUCCCCAGGGUGUGAUCGCUCGAGGCUGGGUUUAGAACAAUAAGGUCCACGAUCAAUAGAAAAUGAACUAGUCAGGAUGUGUUUUAUUGGGCUUACUUAAUUGGCCCAUCUAUAGCGAGCAGCUACUUGACGAAACAUUUUCUUCUUCCUCACAUUGGCUCGACGAUACCUCAUACCUGGGACUUCAGGAGAAGCUGCUCGCCUCCCAUGGUAGCCACCGCCCAAAAUUAGUAGGGGGUACCCUAGGUUUCAAAAAUUUAACCGGGGCCACCGUCCCUACAUGACCCUACGCUGGAGCCGCCCCUUCUUUCAUCCUCUUAAUUCUGCACCCCAGUGCACUAAUUAAGUUCAGAAAUAAAAGGAUGUCACUGAAGAGCAUUUGACAGAGCUCGCCCAUUCAUAGCUCACGCUUCUCCCCCAAAUAGAUGCUUCGAAACGUACUUGGCCCCACCUUUGGUCGAAGUUGCAGAGCCCCGGUGCAAGGUACCUCCUGAACAACAUCAACAUUCGCCGCACUGCACAGUCGUGACGUGUUCAUUCUGAAGUUGUGUCAGUAUAUGCCAUCAUCUUCAUCGUCCACGAUUUACCGCGGCAUCGAGGAUAUAUACUUUUUAUGGGAUAUUAUUAUGAUUUCCAGCCAAAUAGUCCUUCUAAUGAUCAAAAAUUCGUAGUUGAGGCCGAGCACCUCGGUGCGCUACAUCUGGUCCGUCCAGUAUCGUUGGGGAUCCGCGCGCUCCCUGUAUUACCGAGACUUGCCUCCCGUAUCGUCUGCACGAUUCCUUGUAUGACGGGAGACAGAGGAGAGAAUCCGGUGCAGAAUUUAGCCCAUAUCAUCAACAGUACGAUCUGCACAUGCAUGUGAGAAGUACCAAUGCGCAGGUCCAAAUAGUGUAUACAUCGUGGAAAUAGUGUGUGGAAUCCGGUCCAGCAGGGUGGUCAGGUCAAAUCAAUAAUACUUUCCUAUUUUUUGUUAGGCCAUUCACCAGGGAAUGCAUUUACCCCCAAGCGCCCAUCCCACCUGCGUGCAACAUCGCCUUCUUCAUCCUCCACUUGCGUACAAACAAUCAGCAAGCAUGAACUGUCGACCCUACUGCAGUUGGAAAAUGGAUUAUAAGCAAAACUAUUAUCCAUUUCACCAAAACAAAUUCCAGCUACACAUCGGCCAUUAAACAAACCACACACGUUAUAUGAAAUCAAUCCAGCAGUACACGUCAAACUAAAAUUAUGAAAUCAACCCCUCAACUAGUGUUGUUUUCCAUAAAACCAAUUCAAGAUCCAGUCAUUCACAAUCAUAUCAAAUCUAGUUAUUUGCAGGCUCACAACUAAAUUGACGGCAAACUAAAUUCUGAACCUAAAUCAAAAAUUUAUAAAGUCUGAAUUAUCAAUGGUUAAGCAUGAGUGAUUUUUAUCAUCCAAUUCAGUCCCAGUUAAGGAUUCAUGUCAGCUUCAGACCCACAACCCGUCUAGAAAAGUACUAAGACUAUUUUCUCUUUAAAGAUUCAUGUCAGCUUGAGGCCCAUGUCAGCUUCGGUUGAACACUUCAUGCCUGGACCAAGGGGCAAACAUUUGUGCCAAAUAGCGACGGCUAAACAAAUUAGCUCCUAUUGCUAGUGCAGCAUGCAAGGGGACAGCCACCUGACAGUUUAGAAUCCCCACACACGCUUGGACACACCAGAUGUAGUGCACCGAUUUGCUCGGUCACACAAACUUCGCAUUCUAAUGAUGCAGUUUGGUGGUACAGUGGAACACAGGUUUACCGGAACAGAAUGUUAUUCCUUCAUGAUCAGGUUACACAGGUUCACUGUGGCAAAGUCUCAGGACCAAGUUCAGCAAGAACUAAACGAAAUUCAGCACUUCCAUUCAAAGAAUAAAAUCAUGCCAAAAAACGAAAUUCAUCAGUUACAUUGAAAGAACGAACCCGUGUCACUCAGGUACGGUACAGCAAAUUAAAGGCCUGCAGCCCCAAAUACAGAAAUAAAUAUAACGAAAUUCGUGGUUUACAUCCCAAGAACGAGAUCAUGCCACACAUUGUCAGUACAGCGAAGAACUCGCAACAAGUUCUGGAAGUAACAAAUAGAUAAGUUGUAGGAACCUGUCCAAAGAAAAACAGAACACUUCCUUCACCAGCUCGCUACACAUCAAGGACUUGAACAUCUUCAGCAUUGACAGCCUUCCUCAUAGCUUAGUAUUUCUGAUGCUUUGACCCACCGGAGUAAACUGUGGCAUCAGUCCUUGGCUGCCACGUUUUUGUCCAGCAUAACUGUGUUGGGAAACAGACCGUAGUAGUUACAAGAAACAUACAAUACGGUUACACAAACAAGUUCCUACAAGUAUAUGUGACCUCCACUAUCUCAAAUAUAAAAUUGGGGUAUUGUUCGUCACAAUAAGAGAUCAAGGCACGCAACAACUAUCUGUUUAUGCAAGCACACACGUAGGGAAAAUAGGUUUAGAUCGCUGCCUAUAUUAUAAACUCUAAAAGGACAAUUAUGAGAAUCUAAGCAACAUAAAUAAGUUUAGAUUGAUAAUUUGUCUGCCUGCAAUCCGUGCAUCCAUGGACAUCUACUAAAGCACUUUUGGAAUAUGUAGAGGAGAUUUAAGCAUUUCUGGUGCUUAACAGCAUACGCAUAAUGGCAUACAAAGCUUGAAAUAUAUGCAUCAGAUGAGGCAGAAAACUAUGAUUUGUGAAUACUGAUUAUGGUUCAGUAAAUCAAAGGAACAAAACGACAUGUCCAACUAGUGUAUAUAUGUAGUGUUUGUACCUUGUGCCUUCACCACUGGCAUCUAACUGGUAGACAAAGUGUAGAUGUCCAGGUCUUCACCAUGAAGCCGCUGGUGCUGGUUUUGAAGCCCGGGCACCCAGCCGGAAGAGAUCUCUUGCAUAUCCUCGCCCAGCCCCAGCUGCUGCAAACUUACCAACCCCUCAACAUGGCUUAAGUUUGGACAACCACGUACACGCAGUUCUGUCACUUGAGGGAGGUUGGAGAUCCUCUGCAGGCCUUCACAUUUCUUAAUGACAAGGAGUUCAGAGAGCAACAGGAGGUCCUCCACGGCCUUCAAGCUGUUUGUACCAACUAAUCUGAGCUCCUUCAAGCUAGUUGUCUCCUUUCCAAGUUGUCGCGGGAGAGCCCUCAACUUCGGGCAACCCUCGAGUGCCAACAGUACCAAACUAGGCAGCACUGGAAGCCUUGCAGAUUGAGCAUCCUCUUUUCCAAUUUCAGCAGCUCCAUCCUCUCCCCAUGCACCAGCAGCAACUUCUUCCUCAAAAGAAGACCACACCUCCCAGUUGGGCAUAUCCCUGAAGAUCAACCAUUCAAGUUUAGGAAAAGCAACCAGCUCAUUGCAUACAGGAUCACCUCUCUUGCAGCCAAAAAAUUCAGAUCCAACCUUGGUAACAGCAUGUGCUCCAUCAAUCCUCAGAUAUUUCAAGUUUGGCAACUGCCAAAUCGGUGGAAGAUGCACCCAUGAUCGUACAUCUUCGAGUUUCAAUUCUAUUAAAGAAGACAAAUAGGUGAUAUCAAACCAGGUGGGAUACCGCUGACCAAAGAAUUUAAUGAUAUAUAGGUCUUCCAGGUUAGGUGGAGGUAUUAGUUGCUCAAUGACCUUCUCAUCAUUGCUGACAUCUUCUUCUGAAUAUGAUCCCUCUCCACGUCCAGUCCACUUUAGUAAUAGUUGUUUUAGAUGCUUUUUGUCUGUCAGCAGUGCAUCUGUACUGCAAUGAGCUGCUCUAUCCAAAUUAACAAGAGAAAGAUACCUCAUCUGCGACAAAGAAGACAACUCUUCCAACAUCCAUCCAUCUUGUACAACGGCAUUAUCACUUCCAUCACCAACAGGAUAACAUCUGAAACAAGUAAGGAACUUCAAUUUGCCUAUGCCUUUUGGAACCUGAUUUAUUUUUGUGCUAAAAAGAUCAAGACAUCUUAAACUGCACAACAAUGUCACUGCCAAAGGAAGAUUGUGCAGGUCAUUACACCAUCUCAAGCUCAGUGCUUGAAGGUUCUUUAGGGAGCCAAUGGAUUCCGGAAGACAAGAUAUGCCAGUAUGAUCUAGAUUAAGUAGACGUAGAUGUAUCAAUUUUCCUAUAUAGUCUGGGAUGCUUUGUACAAGUGAGUAAUUCAGUACCAAAACACGAAGAAGCAGAAAUCUCUUGAACAAUGUAUCCCCACUUCUCCAUGGACCCUUAACAGUUAGGAAUGUCCUCACCUUAACCUCCAUCUGAUCCACUCUAGGUAACACCAACAUAUCCUUCUUAAUUACGGCAGUAAUACGUCUCAGUUUUGACAUAUUUCCACUCCUUAAUGUUUCAACAUCUCCAAUAAAACAUUCUUCUCUUGAUAUGUUCAGUGCAAGUUGCCUUAAGAGGUCAUGCAUUUUGCAGCGAGACAUGUUAAAAUAUAAGAUAUCUGGUUGGAGGAGAUUCCGGUGGAUUAGCUCGUGGUAGUACUCUUCUGCUAUGUCUUCUAGUAGUUGACCUUGCUGCUCCUCGAUGAAGCCUUCAGCAAUCCAUAACCUGGUAAUGUCUCCACGCAGCAUCAUAGAAUCUUCAGCAUACAGAGCACAAUAAAGGAAACACUGUUUCAGACGAUGCGGCAACUCAUCAUAGCUUAGAUACAGAGCUCCUUCUAUUUCAUCAGAGAGCAUGCUCUGAGAACCAGCAUAUUUGCCCAAAUAAUUUUUCCACUCAUUCUCUGUUAGAUCUCUGCUUGCCAAAGCACUAGCGGUAACCUUGAUUGCAAGAGGGAGGUGACCACAUUUACGAACAAUCUCAAUCCCCGUGUUUCUUAAAUUCUGCACUUCUUUCUCUUCCUCAAUGUUCAUGCUCUUCCAAAGUAGCUCCCAUCCCACCUCUACUGACAUGAGAUCAACUUGAUGGGUAUGUUGUACACCUAUUUUCCUUGUAAUUUGAUCAUCUCGUGUGGUUACCAAUAUUACUCCGGCUGUUGUUUCAUGUAAUGCAGGUCUUAAUAAAUCCGUCCACACAUUGGAAUGCCACACGUCAUCUAGAACCAGAAAGAAACUCUUUCCUUCAAUUGUUUCUGCAAGCUUCCUCUGCAGCUCUGUUAUGGUUUCACCUUGCUCAUGAUGCACACCAAUAUUCCAAAGAACCUCUUUAAGAAGAGUUAUUUCGUUGUAGUCUUGUGAAACACAAAUCCAUGCGUGCAACUUGAAGCUUCCUUUUACUUUCUGAUCGUUGUAUAUUUUUUGAGCUAGUGUUGUCUUACCAACUCCUCCUGUUCCAACAAUAGCAAGCUUGUAAGACUUGCUUUCCUUGUGUGCAAGAACUAAGUCCACCAGCUUCCUGGUAGCAUAUUUGAUCUCCUUCCCCACAAGGUUGGGCUCAACAAGGUUGGAGCUUCUUAUCAGUUUGGAUGUUGGACCAUUUCUAGAAGACUGUAUACUAGUGUUGAAUGUUAAAAAUAUCUUGUCAUUUGCAAUGUUCUCAAUCUUUUUGUUGAGGCUUCUAAUCCGAACAGCAACAUCACGACGUGACCAGAUGUUACAAAAACAAGAGGAAACUGAGAGGCCUUUGCAUGCAGCUGAUUUGCUUGAUGAUGAUGAACGAUCAUCAGGCAGUAGUUUGCUUGCUUUACACGUAGCCACGUCCAGGAUUUCAUCAACAUCAUAUAUAACAUCUCUAAGUUGACCAAGCCAAUUGUUUACGGCUAGCUCUUUUGUCCUCCUUUUCUCAGCAUCAUAUAUGCAACAUUUUAUCAGUUCUACUCGUCGCAGGAUUUCUCUGAGCUCUUCUUCCACCCCAAGGAUUAGUAUGACCUCAUCUGUAAUGAUAUUUUGCAACUUACUGGCACAUGAUCCAAGCAAAGAUUCAAGUAUGGCUGCCAUGGAUCAGACAAACUCGUCAAGGAAGAUCUGCCAAAAACACCAUGGUGACUUGAUUCUGAGAAUGGCAGAAACUGGAAGCUGAAAAUGUAGCAUGCUUUCAAAAAUGAGAUAAGGGUCUACAGAUACACUAGAAGAUAUCACUACUUCGUUGCUAUUUACAUUUAGAAUAGAUUUUGCAUAAUGAAAGCUACGUAUGCAACGUACAUACAGAUUCAGCACCUUGAGUAGCACCAUGUAUCAAGGACUAAGUUCUAGAGCUGCCACUGGGUCUUUUAUUUUAUUGUUUGUGCUUGCAAAAUUACAUGUGCGUUAGCUUUUCAUGCAAAGUAUUCAUCGGUUUGUCUUGCCAGUUAAGGACGCCGUCCAAUGGCAGCUGCAUAGCAAUCUGCAUAUGGACUGAAUCAAAAGAAAUGUUGCACCGAGUUAUAUUCCUAGGUAACCUCAACCUAGGAAUGCCUGUUUCACUUCCUUGACAGAGCCAACUGAGAUGCUCUGUCUCGAUGUUGACCUAACAUGGAUUGAUUCUAAAUUAUGAAUCAAAAAUCCUGAUCUCGCAAAGGAUCCACAAUAGCUGUGUGUACUCGAGGACUCUUAGGGAAAGAAAAGGACUUUUCUCUCUCAGCAGUUAGACCGGCUAUGGGUGGGUUGGUUAUAUACUGCGCCUUCCUUCUUCAAACCUUUUGGUAUGUAUUGCCCCCUAACUAUAGAUCAGAUCCACCAGUUUAUUCAAUUGGAGUAUUGAAAGUUAAGUCGAUUGCAAGUCUUUACCUUACAAACCACUCUUCGGUCAAGGAAAAACCAUCAAUAAUUAUAAUCAAUAGUGAUCAUAAUAAAUCUUGAUAAAGCAGUUUGCUUCGAUUACCAGUCGAUCUCAUUAGAAGAUUAUCGGUCAAUCACCACUAGAAAACCAUGCUGCUGCUACACCUGUAGUAUAUAGAUAAUACAAGAUUAUGGACCAAGUAAUGAACAGAAGGAGUAUCUCCCACCGCGUUACAGAUCAAGAAGUUCAAGACACUGAGAUCAGAUAUGUACCUCAACACGGGCCGGUAAGUCCACAGGAUCUCUUCAAUCAAUGGUGACCACUGGACCAACGGGGAAGGAACGGCGAACUUGAGCGGAUCAAGACAACGACCACUGGACCAACAGGGAAGGAACGGCGAACUUGAGCGGAUCAAGACAACAUUUCCUAUGCGGGAGGAGGCGACCUCAGAGCAAGCACACAGGAGGAGGCGACCUCAGCGAGGAAUUCCUUCGAUCUGAAGCAAGAAUUAGUCGCAUAAAGGCAGGCUUUGAUGAUGGCUGGAAGAGAAAAGUGGUAAAGAAGGCUAAUGAUGCUUAUCUUAAAUUUGUUUACUUGGACAUAGAACCCAGUAAUUAUUCCUUCCUUCCCACCAUUGCAGCAAAAGGCAAAAGCAAAAGCACUCAAGGUGGCUCAUUUUUUAUUUCUUGACGAUUGAACCUGAUGCCUUACCUGAUCCAGUAGCACUGUAGCAGCAUAUAUGUACUGCAAAGACAAGCAACAGCAGAGGCCCCAUCUCCUCUGCUUCCAUUAUUAAUUCAUGUGUCAGGAUAUUUAACCAAACAACAUCAGCCCAUCAUUUUCAGCAACCAGCCAUGAAAUACAUAUACGGUCAGCAAGAGCAGGGUCUGCACAUGCCACAAUUGCCAGUAAUAAAGAUCCCCCAUAAGAGAUUUGUGAUACAUCUUAAGAACGACUAUGUUGUAUCCAUCACAGUUAAUCCAAGCAGUCAAGGAGGUUCAACUUGGGGUUACUACAGAGGUAACUAGAGCACACUUGACAACAAAAUUUCAAGAUUACUUGCACUAGCUUUGCUAGUUAUCGUCCUUAAUUCUCUUGAGCAGCUUGGCAGCCCACCGGCGCAGCCUUUUGUUCAGGGUGAAGCCAACCACGACGCCAACAACAAAGCUGAGGGCGCCAAACUUCGCGCAAGCCGACAGAGACACCAUCCGGCUGCAAUACCAAAGGAUCGUACGUCAGUUGCAAACUUGCAAGGAGCAUAACUUGAGUCAGGGAUUACAGAUUUACAGUACAACAUGUGCACGUUUACAUCACCAAAAAAUGUUGCGGCUGCAGCCUAAAUCUAGAAAAGAAGACUAGAGAGUCGAUGCCAAAUGUGGAAACAUGCAUUUGCCAUUCAGAUUUCACUAUAUAGGCACAGAGUCUAUUUGGCGGACGACUGCAGCUUUGGUUGGCAGAUGCAUACCCCAACCCUCCACAUUGUCUGUGUUCCAUCUUCAGCAUUCAAUUUCAUGUCACAAAAUUUGUAAGCAUGCUAUCUACUGGAACUUGCGAUUGAUUUUUCCAGUCUUUAAAGUUUAAACUGGGAGGUUCUGAUAGAACUUCGAACUAGUGCAAAUAAAUACUUUCAAUUUCAACUAAGAGGGGGCAAACCUUUCACCGAAAACUUGUACAAAAAAAUGAAAUAGAAACCGAACUUUAACCUACAAGUAUCAAGCAUCUUUCAAUCAGCUACUGACCAAAUAGAUAAAUAAACAGGAACCAUAUAUCAAAAUUCCAAUUAGGACAAAAAAAACGACUAGGUCAGGUUUCUUCAGAUUAGGGUGCUAAUUUAACAUAGGGAUCGGUGUACUUCAAGCCCCUGCAGCCACUGCUGAAGGGUGGCAACCUCAGUUGGGGAGCGCCAUAGACUGCAGUGGCAGCACGGCCUAAAGCAGGAGGAUGAGCAUGGGAGAGUGAGGCAGAGAGGCCCGGGGAUUUGCUCAAGCAGGAGGCACAGGGGAAGUCAGAGGAUACAGUUUUACAAGUGGGAUACGGAAAAUUCAGCAAUAAUCAUGUACUCCCUCCGUUCCUUAAUAUAAUUUUUUUUAGAGAUAUCACUAGGAGACUACAUACAGUUGCAAUUUUCCGAAAUCAACGUAGAUAAGCAUGUACGCUGGCAACCAAACUUCUGAUGUUUAGAAGUUCCACAAAUACUACAUGUACAGCAUACAUAUUACAUUGCCCAGCCUAAUUCUUCUUCUCAGGUUUACGGCUUGGUAUCAGUUAAGACACAGAACGAUAUGUAGCACCAUAUGGAACAGGUUACGUCGUAGAAAUCGAAAAUACGGACAUAAAAGUAAACAUAUAAGUCGAAUAAUUGGGCUGUCCUACCAUACACAUGACGACAUAACUGAAGCUCUCCCCAGCCAAACAUUCUCUACAGACCAAAUCCGACUCGUUUAGUCAAGCUUCCAGCUCUGAUGUGUUGCAGGGAUUUCCUGCAUCUGCGUCAGCUACUACUACCACAGUGCAGAACAGCAAAGCAUGCUUGAUAUCCCCCAAACUACUGGCAGCAUACCGCGAAAUCCGCCCCCAAAUCGAAGCAAUCUACCGGGCGAGCGAGCGAAAACAGGGCGCGUCGAUCGAAUCUCGAACCAGAGGAGGAGGAUGAGGACGGUGAGGGGGUGCUCGGACAUACCCUGCCUCCCUGGGCACGAGGAGCUGGUCGGAGAAGGCGGAGCGCGAGGAGGAGGAGGAGUUGGCGGCGUCCUGCGCCGCCGCCUGCAGCCUCCCCACCGCCGACGAACCUGAAGGCAUCUCCGCGGAUCCCGACCUCUUCCUGGCCUCGCCGGGGGUUCGAGCAAGCUAGGGUUUAGAGAGGCAGGGAUUUUUCCUCCCUCUUUUCUCGGAUGGGGGCGGUAAAUAAGAGAAGUGUUUUUUUUUCUUUUUCCGUCUUUUCUUGUCUUGCAGAGGAAGAAGAAGAAAUACGGGCCGGAGAAGGAGCGAAGGAAGGCGGGGUCGACUUGGGGAUGGGCCUGGCCGGGACGGCACUGGGCUCUGGGUUUUGCGCCGUCCGUGUCCAAUUUCCCUGUGAUUUUUUUUUUAACUGAUGACGAAAAAGGGUUUUCCCGCUUUGUAUUACAAAGCAACCAGGCAGAACGUCCAACGAUACGUGUUGGGGUGGAAACAACAUAGUCACGUUAAAAAAAAUGAAAAAGAAAAUACAAUGGAAACAAAUGCCGAUACCGGCGGAUCGACAGAAAACGCAAAAGACUCGCGACCGCUGCGUCCACCAGAAGUCUCCCACGAGGCUCCAGCACUUCAAAGCGCUGGUACCCAUCAAUACCUCCAAGAAGGAAUGCGACGAUGACGACGCUACUGCCAAGGGUUUCCUCCGAUACGCGCUGAGGCACGAGGAAGGGUAGCCCCGACGCCCUCCAGGAAGGUUCCACGACACCCAAAGGCGUCACUGCGUCAGCGUCGACCGGACCGACAGGGGAUUCCUCCGAUCCCAACCUGCACCUCAGGCGCUCCGAAGCCUGCCACCAAACCGACCAUCACCCUGCACCAACACGGUCUUGAGGCCCCCUCGUCAUCUCACCACGGCACCGUAAGAAGAGACCUCCACAACGACGAAGAGGAGCCAGGACUAGGAGCAGUACCACCGCCGGCACGCGCGAGGGCUCAACCUCCACCAUCAACGGCGGUAGCCGACCGGACGCAAUAGCAGAAGCAUACCAGGCCAAGCUGGGACCCCCCCCCCCCCGUAAMGCUCCGUCAUCACACUACAACAGGCACGCCUUCGACGACACCGCCCCAMGUCCAAGCUGCUCCUCCUCACCACCACGUAGAAGACAACGCACCCACGUCGUGUGCCGGCCCGCUAGGACCCAAAUGGGCCCCCACAGGGCCCAGCUCUAGGACGGGGACGCGUCGCCGACCACCCCGCACCACCACGCCACCCUGCCGCCAAGGAGCAGCGCUGCCACCUCAUCCAGCAUCGGACAUCGAUUGAAUCUCGAAUCAUAGGAGGAGGAUGAAGACGGGGAGGGGAAGCUCGGACAAAUCCUGCCUCCCUGGGCACAAGGAGCUGGUCAGAGAAGGCGGCGGAGGCGGAGCGCGAGGAGGAGGAGGAGGAGGAGUUGGCGGCGUCCUGCGUCGCCGCCUGCAGCCUCCCCACCGCCGACGAAGCAGAAGGUAUCUUCGCGGAUGCUGACUCCUCUGCUCUCAGGCCUCGCCGGGGGUCGAGCUAGCUAGGGUUUAGCGGCGGAGCCUGGCGAGGGAGGCAAGGAAUUUUCUUCUCCCUCUUUUCUCGGAUGGGGGAGGUAAUUAGAGUGGUGGAUAUUUUUUUUUCCUUUGUCUUUUUCUUUUCUUGUAGGAGAAGAAGAAGAAACGACGGGUCGGAGAAGGAAGGAAAGAUGAGGUCGAUUCGGGUAUGGGCCGGGCCGUGCCGGUGCUGGGUUUGGCAAUAGGCCGUGUCCAUUUUCUCUGUGAUUCAUUUUUGGGGCCGAAAAUUUAACAAUUAAGAAUUCGAAUUGUUUGGGGUUUGAAUCCUUCAUCAAGAAGAAAUAAAAUCGAACAUCAAUAUAGACGGAGCGUCGCUCAGCGAUAUCUUAUUGCAAGACGCGUUCAAUACAACCAACACGUGAGCCACGGGGCAUGUCAGGGCCACAUAGGCUGACACGCCAAACUCCCCCAAGCCCAAGGACAUGUGCUAAAAAAUAUAAUUUCUCUAUUAAACAGAUGUCAGAUUUUAAAGCAUGCAUAUCUCACGCACGCGAUGAUAAACUAUAUUAUGGCGAGCAUGACAAUUUCUUCGGCGAGCAUCUCACAUUGAUGCUUAAAAUCUGGCGUCAUAUUUUUAACAUUUUUUAAAUUAGUCAAUUGAUGGUUAGAGCACCAUCUCACGUAGCUCAAUAGGGUGAUAUAGAGAGAUUCGAAAGUGAGGCAACGUAAGUGUAUGCUCGCGCACGGUCAUUGAAAUGGAAAUCCCGUCACUAUCCCCGAGCCCAUCGCGCGUCGUCGUCCCCGAGCCCAUCAUCGUCG
RNAcentral lists this long non-coding RNA (32186 nucleotides) under Hordeum vulgare. RNAcentral describes it as "long non-coding RNA (HVUL_LNC006347)". Lineage: Eukaryota; Viridiplantae; Streptophyta; Magnoliopsida; Poales; Poaceae. The record is from RNAcentral.